AGAGCCCAAGAUCAGAAUAAAAGGGCUGAGGGACAGAGCACCUCCAUUCACUUGCCUCCUGAGGUACCUACAGAUCUUGUGCUACCUGUCUUCUUGCUCCUGAGCACUCACCAGCCGAGAUGUCCUGCCAGCAGAGCCAGCAACAGUGCCAGCCCCCUCCCAA
This is a long non-coding RNA of Peromyscus leucopus (white-footed mouse), 163 nucleotides long. RefSeq lists it as uncharacterized. Lineage: Eukaryota; Metazoa; Chordata; Mammalia; Rodentia; Cricetidae. The record is from RefSeq and is a predicted model, not a curated record. The transcript is spliced from 2 exons.